GCGAAAGCCUGAUGGUGUGACGCCGCGUGGAGGAUGAAGGUCUUCGGAUUGUAAACUCCUGUCAAGUGAGAGUAAAGCCGGGCGUUAACUGCGAGCCGGUGUGAGAGUAUCACUAGAGGAAGAGACGGCUAACUCUGUGCCAGCAGCCGCGGUAAUACAGAGGUCUCAAGCGUUGUUCGGAAUCACUGGGCGUAAAGGGUGCGUAGGCUGCACGGUAAGUCAGAGGUGAAAUCCCGGAGCGUCAACUUCGGAAAUGCCUCCGAUACUGCCGUGCUUGAGGAUUGGAGAGGAGUCCGGAAUUCACAGUGGAGCAGUGAAAUGCGUAGAUAUUGUGAGGAACACUAGUGGCGAAGGCGGGACUCUGGACAAUUCCUGACGCUGAGGCACGAAGGCCAGGGGAGCAAACGGGAUUAGAUACCCCGGUAGUCCUGGCAGUAAACGGUGCACGCUUGGUGUGGCGGGAAUCGACCCUGCCGUGCCGGAGCCAACGCGUUAAGCGUGCCGCCU
Molecule: ribosomal RNA, 507 nt
Filed under: uncultured bacterium
Lineage: Bacteria
Description: bacterial SSU rRNA
Rfam family: Bacterial small subunit ribosomal RNA
Source: RNAcentral